RNAcentral lists this ribosomal RNA (581 nucleotides) under uncultured bacterium. Its description in RNAcentral is "bacterial SSU rRNA". It matches the Rfam family "Bacterial small subunit ribosomal RNA", at positions 337 to 909 of the family's 1533-position model. The record is from RNAcentral.
UCCUACGGGAGGCAGCAGUAGGGAAUCUUCCGCAAUGGACGAAAGUCUGACGGAGCAACGCCGCGUGAGUGAUGAAGGUUUUCGGAUCGUAAAACUCUGUUGUUAGGGAAGAACAAGUUGGGUAGUAACUGACCCAACCUUGACGGUACCUAACCAGAAAGCCACGGCUAACUACGUGCCAGCAGCCGCGGUAAUACGUAGGUGGCAAGCGUUGUCCGGAAUUAUUGGGCGUAAAGCGCUCGCAGGCGGUCUUUUAAGUCUGAUGUGAAAGCCCACGGCUUAACCGUGGAGGGUCAUUGGAAACUGGAGGACUUGAGUACAGAAGAGGAGAGUGGAAUUCCACGUGUAGCGGUGAAAUGCGUAGAGAUAUGGAGGAACACCAGUGGCGAAGGCGACUUUCUGGUCUGUAACUGACACUGAGGCGCGAAAGCGUGGGGAGCAAACAGGAUUAGAUACCCUGGUAGUCCUGGCCGUAAACGAUGAACACUAGGUGUCGGGGGAAUCGACCCCCUCGGUGUCGUAGCCAACGCGUUAAGUGUUCCGCCUGGGGAGUACGCACGCAAGUGUGAAACUCAAAGGAA